RNAcentral lists this ribosomal RNA (572 nucleotides) under Chalcorana megalonesa. RNAcentral describes it as "Hylarana megalonesa partial 16S ribosomal RNA". The stretch from base 344 to 558 matches the Rfam family "Bacterial large subunit ribosomal RNA", at positions 1692 to 2034 of the family's 2925-position model. Lineage: Eukaryota; Metazoa; Chordata; Amphibia; Anura; Ranidae. The record is from RNAcentral.
UUGAAACAGGAUACAACCUCACACACGUGGAAAACAAAAGGAUAACAAAACUAAGUGGGCCUAAAAGCAGCCACCUUUAAGAAAGCGUUACAGCUCCACCACACCCAACCCAAAAUCAUUUCAACACCCAUCAACCCUUAACCCCUACUGAACCAUUUUAUAUUAUUAUAAAAACUAUUAUGCUAGGACUAGUAACAAGAAUUUGCUUUUCUCCUUAAUAUAAGCAUAAACCAAAACGGACUAUCCAUUGGCAAUUAACGUUAGUGAACUAAUUAUAGUAACAACCCUACUAGAAAACUCUAUAUUUAAUAACGUUAACCUCACACCAGAAUAUUAAAGGAAAGAUUAAAAGAAAAAGAAGGAACUCGGCAAAUUUCAACCCCGCCUGUUUACCAAAAACAUCGCCUCUUGAUAAACAUAAGAGGUCCAGCCUGCCCAGUGACAAUGUUCAACGGCCGCGGUACCCUUACCRUMCAAAGGUAGCAUAAUCACUUGUUCUUUAAAUGAGGACUUGUAUCAAUGGCAUCACGAGGGUUGUACUGUCUCCUUUUUCUAAUCAGUGAAACUGAUCU